CCUACGGGAGGCAGCAGUGGGGAAUAUUGCACAAUGGGGGAAACCCUGAUGCAGCGACGCCGCGUGAAGGAUGAAGUAUUUCGGUAUGUAAACUUCUAUCAGCAGGGAAGAAAAUGACGGUACUUGACCAAGAAGCCCCGGCUAACUAAUUGACAGCAGCCGCGGUACUACGUCGGGGGCCGCGGUUAUCCGGAUUUUCUGGGGGUAAAGGGAGCGUAGACGGGCAUGCAAGUCUGCUGUGAAAAGCCGGGGCUCAACCCCGGGACAGCAUUGGAAACUGUGCUGCUGGAGUGUCGGAGAGGCAAGUGGAAUUCGUAGUGUAGCGGUGAAAUGCGUAGAUAUUAGGAGGAACACCAGUGGCGAAGGCGGCGUGCCGGACGAAGACUGACGUUGAGGCUCGAAAGCGUGGGGAGCAAACAGGAUUAGAUACCCUUGUAGUC
RNAcentral lists this ribosomal RNA (440 nucleotides) under uncultured bacterium. Its description in RNAcentral is "partial 16S ribosomal RNA". It matches the Rfam family "Bacterial small subunit ribosomal RNA", at positions 338 to 795 of the family's 1533-position model. The record is from RNAcentral.